ACUCCUACGGGAGGCAGCAGUGGGGAAUCUUGGACAAUGGGCGCAAGCCUGAUCCAGCCAUGCCGCGUGAGUGAUGAAGGCCUUAGGGUCGUAAAAGCUCUUUCGCCAGAGAUGAUAAUGACAGUAUCUGGUAAAGAAACCCCGGGCUAACUCCGUGCCAGCAGCCGCGGUAAUACGGAGGGGGUUAGCGUUGUUCGGAAUUACUGGGCGUAAAGCGUACGUAGGCGGAUUAGUCAGUUAGAGGUGAAAUCCCGGGGCUCAACCCCGGAACUGCCUUUAAUACUGCUAGUCUUGAGUUCGAGAGAGGUGAGUGGAAUUCCGAGUGUAGAGGUGAAAUUCGUAGAUAUUCGGAGGAACACCAGUGGCGAAGGCGGCUCACUGGCUCGAUACUGACGCUGAGGUACGAAAGUGUGGGGAGCAAACAGGAUUAGAUACCCUGGUAGCUCGAUG
This 450-nucleotide ribosomal RNA is filed under the name uncultured bacterium. Its description in RNAcentral is "bacterial SSU rRNA". It matches the Rfam family "Bacterial small subunit ribosomal RNA", at positions 335 to 799 of the family's 1533-position model. The record is from RNAcentral.